This 253-nucleotide ribosomal RNA is filed under the name uncultured Dehalobacterium sp. Its description in RNAcentral is "partial 16S ribosomal RNA". It matches the Rfam family "Bacterial small subunit ribosomal RNA", at positions 524 to 776 of the family's 1533-position model. Lineage: Bacteria; Bacillati; Bacillota; Clostridia; Eubacteriales; Peptococcaceae. The record is from RNAcentral.
UACGUAGGGAGCAAGCGUUGUCCGGAAUUACUGGGCGUAAAGGGCGCGUAGGUGGGCGCUUAAGUCAGGUGUGAAAACUCCGGGCUCAACCUGGAGACUGCACUUGAAACUGUAUUUCUUGAGUGCUGGAGAGGCAAUCGGAAUUCCGUGUGUAGCGGUGAAAUGCGUAGAUAUACGGAGGAACACCAGUGGCGAAGGCGGAUUGCUGGACAGUAACUGACGCUGAGGCUCGAAAGCAUGGGUAGCGAACAGG